GAUGAAGAACGUAGCGAAAUGCGAUAAGUAAUGUGAAUUGCAGAAUUCAGUGAAUCAUCGAAUCUUUGAACGCACCUUGCGCCCUUUGGCCAUUCCGAAGGGCAUGCCUGUUUGAGUAUCAUGAACACCUCAACUCUUUAUGGUUUUCCAUGAUGAGCUUGGACUCUGGGGGUUUUGCUGGCUCACAGUCGGCUCCUCUAAAAUGAAUCAGCUUACCAGUGUUUGGUGGGUAUCAUGGGUGUGAUAACUAUCUACGCUUGUGGUUUUUCCACCAGAUAACCUUCAGCAGUGGAGGUUCGCUGGAGCUCAUAGAUGUCUCUCCUCAGUGAGGACAGCCCUUUGAAUGUUUGAUCUCAAAUCAGGUAGGACUACCCGCUGAACUUAAGCAUAUCAAUAAGCGGAGGA
RNAcentral lists this unclassified non-coding RNA (405 nucleotides) under soil metagenome. Its description in RNAcentral is "partial contains 5.8S ribosomal RNA, internal transcribed spacer 2, and large subunit ribosomal RNA". The stretch from base 1 to 121 matches the Rfam family "5.8S ribosomal RNA", at positions 35 to 154 of the family's 154-position model. The record is from RNAcentral.